RNAcentral lists this ribosomal RNA (609 nucleotides) under Hydraena rigua. RNAcentral's name for it is "partial 16S ribosomal RNA". It matches the Rfam family "Bacterial large subunit ribosomal RNA", at positions 1819 to 2725 of the family's 2925-position model. The record is from RNAcentral. Lineage: Eukaryota; Metazoa; Arthropoda; Insecta; Coleoptera; Hydraenidae.
GUCCUUUUGAUAAUAAUAUAAGGUCUAACCUGCCCACUGAAAUUUUAAAGGGCCGCAGUAUUUUAACUGUGCAAAGGUAGCAUAAUAAUUAGUUUCUUAAUUAGAAGCUGGUAUGAAUGGUUGAACGAGAAAUUUACUGUCUCGAUUUAUAUAUUAAAAUUUUAUUUUUAAGUUAAAAAGCUUAAAUUUAUUUAAAAGACGAGAAGACCCUAUAGAGUUUUAUAAAUUUAAUUAUAUUAUUUUUAGAAUUUUUUUUUAGUUAUAUUUAUUUUAUUGGGGUGAUAUAUAAAUUUAAUAAACUUUAUAUUUUUAAUAACAUUAAUUAAUGUUUAGUUGAUCCAUAUAAAUGAUUAAAAGAAAAAAUUACCUUAGGGAUAACAGCGUAAUUUUUUUUUAGAGUUCUAAUCGAAAAAAAAGAUUGCGACCUCGAUGUUGGAUUAAAAUUAAUUUUUGGUGUAGAAGCUAAAAUAUUAGGUCUGUUCGACCUUUAAAAUUUUACAUGAUCUGAGUUUAAACCGGUGUGAGCCAGGUUGGUUUCUAUCUUUAAAAAAAAUAAAUAUUUUAGUACGAAAGGACCAAGUAUUUUUAAAAUUUAAUAUUUUUUGAAUA